RNAcentral lists this small RNA (125 nucleotides) under Marmota monax (woodchuck). Lineage: Eukaryota; Metazoa; Chordata; Mammalia; Rodentia; Sciuridae. The record is from RNAcentral.
GCCAGGUGUGGUGGUGCAUUCCUGUAAUCCCAGCAGCUCAGGAGGCAAAGACAGGAGCUUUGUGAGUUCAAAGCCAGCCUCAGCAAUGGCAAAGCACUAAGCAACUCAAUGAGACCCUGUCUCUA